Molecule: long non-coding RNA, 999 nt
Filed under: Vigna radiata
Lineage: Eukaryota; Viridiplantae; Streptophyta; Magnoliopsida; Fabales; Fabaceae
Description: long non-coding RNA (VRAD_LNC001764)
Source: RNAcentral
AAAAUCUUUGCUUUUAAUCUGAUAGAGAGAUGAAAGACAUAGAGAGAGAGCAACUUAAAUCAAUAAUCAAAUAUACAAUUGCAUUAAUUCACUUAACCUUAGAAUCCAUAAUGAAAUUACAGCAGAAUAGCCCUAAAUGCUUAGCUCUCCAUGAAUGGAGUUGAAUACAUGAUGAAAUAAAAGAGAGGAGUGGUGAAUAUGAAGAUGAUGUCCUUUCUGUCUCCCCUGGGUCUCUUUAUAUAGGGCUUGAUUGGGCUUGGAUUCUGAAUAUUCAAUUGACAAAAUCUUUUAUCUCAUAUCUUCCAAAUAACUAAAAGAUUUAGAUAAUUAUAACAUUAUUUGGAAGAUAUUUUCUGUUGAUAUUCCCAAAUUAAAUUAAUUCAACAACUGAAUUUUAUCUUUUAGCUUUUUUAACUUUCCAAAAUUGCACAAAUGCCUUGAAAUUUUCUCUAUCUGCACAUAAACCCUUUUUUAAUUUCUGAAAUUGCACAUUGGCCCCUGUUGACCAGCUUUGACUCAAAAAUGAUCUUCUCUUAAUCUUUUCUUCUUUCCUCUCUUCCUCUUUUUCUUAAUCUCCUCCCUCAACUUUUGUUUUUUCUCUUUUCUUCUUUUCUUCUUUAUUUUUGCAUAUUUUUUCUUUUUUUUCUUUUUUCUCAACCACUGUUUUUUCUCCCUCAUCAUCAUUAUCUUCCUCAACAAACUUUUUUGUUUCUAUUUCCUCUAUCUUUUCCUCCUUUCUCUCCAUGUUUUUUUCCUCUAUCUUUUCCUCAUCUAUCUCUAUCUAUUUUUCCUCUAUCUUCUCCUCCUUUCUCUCCAUGUUUUUCUCCUCAACAACCUUUUCUGUUUCUAUCUCUUCUAUCUUUUUCACCUCUCUCUCUAUCUUCUCCUCAGCAACAACCUCAUCACUUUCAGAGAUAGUGGCUUGACAUUCCUUCCUAGGGUUAACUUCAGUACUAACUCUAGAAUCAUUCAAAGAUGCAGUCACACAAUCUAGUUCUG